This 379-nucleotide ribosomal RNA is filed under the name Acanthamoeba castellanii. RNAcentral describes it as "SSU rRNA". The stretch from base 1 to 334 matches the Rfam family "Eukaryotic small subunit ribosomal RNA", at positions 794 to 1116 of the family's 1831-position model. The record is from RNAcentral. Lineage: Eukaryota; Discosea; Longamoebia; Acanthamoebidae.
ACCGAAUACAUUAGCAUGGGAUAAUGGAAUAGGACCCUGUCCUCCUAUUUUCAGUUGGUUUUGGCAGCGCGAGGACUAGGGUAAUGAUUAAUAGGGAUAGUUGGGGGCAUUAAUAUUUAAUUGUCAGAGGUGAAAUUCUUGGAUUUAUGAAAGAUUAACUUCUGCGAAAGCAUCUGCCAAGGAUGUUUUCAUUAAUCAAGAACGAAAGUUAGGGGAUCGAAGACGAUCAGAUACCGUCGUAGUCUUAACCAUAAACGAUGCCGACCAGCGAUUAGGAGACGUUGAAUACAAAACACCACCAUCGGUUGCGGUCGUCCUUGGCGUCUCGGUUUCGGCCGGGGCGCGGGGACGGUUUAGCCCGGUGGCACCGGUGAAUGAC